GACGAACGCUGGCGGCGUGCUUAACACAUGCAAGUCGAACGGAAAGGCCCUGCUUUUGUGGGGUGCUCGAGUGGCGAACGGGUGAGUAACACGUGAGUAACCUGCCCUUGACUUUGGGAUAACUUCAGGAAACUGGGGCUAAUACCGGAUAGGAGCUCCUGCUGCAUGGUGGGGGUUGGAAAGUUUCGGCGGUUGGGGAUGGACUCGCGGCUUAUCAGCUUGUUGGUGGGGUAGUGGCUUACCAAGGCUUUGACGGGUAGCCGGCCUGAGAGGGUGACCGGCAACAUUGGGACGGAGAUACGGCCCAGACUCCUCCGGGAGGCAGCAGUGGGGAAUAUUGCACAAUGGGCGGAAGCCUGAUGCAGCAACGCCGCGUGCGGGAUGACGGCCUUCGGGUUGUAAACCGCUUUCGCCUGUGACGAAGCGUGAGUGACGGUAAUGGGUAAAGAAGCACCGGCUAACUACGUG
This 468-nucleotide ribosomal RNA is filed under the name uncultured bacterium. RNAcentral describes it as "partial 16S ribosomal RNA". It matches the Rfam family "Bacterial small subunit ribosomal RNA", at positions 28 to 507 of the family's 1533-position model. The record is from RNAcentral.